GACCCGGAACUCCUUCACCCGAUACAAAAGCACGACUUUGAGCGCGAUGUAACAAGUCGGGUUUGUCACCACGAAGCAUACCAUUGGUAGCUGGGUUGGAAAAAACUGGAUGCAAGCUGGUGGGUUUAGGAGUUCCAGGUAGACCUUCUGCAGGCUCGGGAAAUUCUACAUCGACAAAGUCAACUUUGAGCUUUUGCUCACUUUUGACACCAACUAUUAAUGGAGAACCACGACGAGUUGCGACCACUUCACCAGGGUAGUGACUGCUUUUAAUGAGUAAAGCGUAGGCACCUUCAAGUUCACGAAAGACGAGUUUAGCGAGUGAUGUGAAGUCAACUCCUGGAGUAGUGUCGUAAAUAAAUUUAGCGAGCUUAGCCACACAUUCAGUAUCGGUUUCGCUUUCAAAAACCAUGCCUCUCGAUUCAAGAACGGUGCGUAGCUCACGAUAGUUGGUUAAAAUACCGUUAUGAACGACUAUGAAUUCACUAUGAGGGUCAGACCGCUGGGGAUGACAAUUAAUGGGAGAAGGGAUGCCAUGAGUUGCCCAACGGGUGUGACUAAUGGCGCAAUGGUUGAUAAAUUUAGUGGAUUUAUUCACGUUCGAUCCUUUUAUAGAUGCCUCUAAUUUACUAACAUUGCCAACUUCUUUGAACAUGAUGAAGUCUUCACCUUCAUCUCCAUCGACAGCACAUCCUGAAGAAUCAUAACCCCGAUAUUCCAGACGUUUGAGACCUAAACCUGAAUUAGUAAAAUGAGUUUUAAUUUGUUUAUACUUUUGUUUAAUAAGUAAACAGAAAAUUGAAGUAGCAGAUAGAUUAAAUGUCAUGAGAGAGAACACAUCACAAACAAAGCGUAAUCACUGUGAUCGAAAGCA
Non-coding RNA from Schizosaccharomyces pombe (fission yeast), 874 nucleotides. NCBI's taxonomy places the organism in Eukaryota, Fungi, Ascomycota, Schizosaccharomycetes, Schizosaccharomycetales, Schizosaccharomycetaceae. The record is from the annotation of a GenBank genome assembly.